Molecule: ribosomal RNA, 378 nt
Filed under: Microcystis aeruginosa Mc-Bul-S1
Lineage: Bacteria; Bacillati; Cyanobacteriota; Cyanophyceae; Chroococcales; Microcystaceae
Description: bacterial SSU rRNA
Rfam family: Bacterial small subunit ribosomal RNA
Source: RNAcentral
GGACGGGGACAACAGUUGGAAACGACUGCUAAUACCCGAUGUGCCGAAAGGUGAAACCUAAUUGGCCUGAAGAAGAGCUUGCGUCUGAUUAGCUAGUUGGUGGGGUAAAGGCCUACCAAGGCGACGAUCAGUAGCUGGUCUGAGAGGAUGAGCAGCCACACUGGGACUGAGACACGGCCCAGACUCCUACGGGAGGCAGCAGUGGGGAAUUUUCCGCAAUGGGCGAAAGCCUGACGGAGCAACGCCGCGUGAGGGAGGAAGGUCUUUGGAUUGUAAACCUCUUUUCUCAAGGAAGAAGUUCUGACGGUACUUGAGGAAUCAGCCUCGGCUAACUCCGUGCCAGCAGCCGCGGUAAUACGGGGGAGGCAAGCGUUAUCC